RNAcentral lists this ribosomal RNA (253 nucleotides) under uncultured bacterium. RNAcentral describes it as "partial 16S ribosomal RNA". It matches the Rfam family "Bacterial small subunit ribosomal RNA", at positions 524 to 776 of the family's 1533-position model. The record is from RNAcentral.
UACAGAGGUCUCAAGCGUUGUUCGGAAUUACUGGGCGUAAAGGGCUCGUAGGCGGCCAACUAAGUCAGACGUGAAAUCCCUCGGCUUAACCGGGGAACUGCAUCUGAUACUGCAAAUCUCGAGUCCGGAAGAGGUGAGUGGAAUUCCUAGUGUAGAGGUGAAAUUCGUAGAUAUUAGGAAGAACACCAGUGGCGAAGGCGGCUCACUGGUCCGGUACUGACGCUGAGGUGCGAAAGCGUGGGGAGCAAACAGG